Molecule: unclassified non-coding RNA, 206 nt
Filed under: Hevea brasiliensis (rubber tree)
Lineage: Eukaryota; Viridiplantae; Streptophyta; Magnoliopsida; Malpighiales; Euphorbiaceae
Source: RNAcentral
AUCAAUCCGUCGAGAUAUCUCUACAAUUGAUAUCGUCUUUUUUCAUUAUUGAUCAGUUAUGGAUAAAUCUUUGAGAACUGCGUUGUUCUCUUGUGUUCUGCUUAUGAUCUCCAUAUGUGUUCCAUCAUCUUUGGCCUAAACAUGCCAGAGCUAUAACUUCUCUACCAAUCAGGUAUUCAGUGCUUGCAGUGAUCUUCCUGUGUUGA